Molecule: transfer RNA, 66 nt
Filed under: Escherichia coli
Lineage: Bacteria; Pseudomonadati; Pseudomonadota; Gammaproteobacteria; Enterobacterales; Enterobacteriaceae
Description: tRNA-Ala
Rfam family: tRNA
About the family: Transfer RNA (tRNA) molecules are approximately 80 nucleotides in length. Their secondary structure includes four short double-helical elements and three loops (D, anti-codon, and T loops).
Source: RNAcentral
GGGGCUAUAGCUCAGCUGGGAGAGCGCCUGCUUUGCACGCAGGAGGUCUGCGGUUCGAUCCCGCAU